UGGCACUCCAGGUAAUGGGGGAAGGGGUGGAUGAGGGACAUCAAACAUUGAUGAGGGUGGUGGAGGUGGAGGAGGUGAGACACUAGACAUCGAUGGGGGUGAUGAAGGUGGGACACUAGACACCAAUUGGGGUGGUGGAGAUGGAGGUGAGGCACUAGUUGAAAAAGUGGUUGAUAAAGGUGAAGGAGGAAGUGAAGCACUAGAUAUCGAUGGGGGAGGAGGUUGGGUGUUAGAUGUUGAUGGGGGCGGUGGAGAUGGAGGAGGUGGGGCACUAGUCGUCAAAGUGGUUGGUGAAGGAGGAGGUGGGGUGCUAGAUAUUGAUGGGGGUGGUGGAGAUGGAGGAGGUGGAGGGAGUAGGGCACUAGUCAUCAAAGUAUUUGGUGAAGGUGAAGGAGGAAUUGAAGCACUAGACAUCGAUGGGGGAGGAGGUGGGGUGCUAGAUAUUGAUGGGGGUGGUGGAGAUGGAGGAGCUGGGGUACUAGUCAUCGAAGUGGUUGGUGAAGGAGGAGGUGGGGUGCUAGAUAUUGAAGAAGGUGGUGGAGAUGGAGGAGGUAGGGCACUAGUUGUCAAAGUGGUUGGUGAAGGAGAACGAGGAAUUGAAGCACUAGA
This 609-nucleotide long non-coding RNA is filed under the name Gossypium raimondii (Peruvian cotton). Its description in RNAcentral is "long non-coding RNA (GRAI_LNC005080)". The record is from RNAcentral. Lineage: Eukaryota; Viridiplantae; Streptophyta; Magnoliopsida; Malvales; Malvaceae.